This 253-nucleotide ribosomal RNA is filed under the name uncultured bacterium. RNAcentral's name for it is "partial 16S ribosomal RNA". It matches the Rfam family "Bacterial small subunit ribosomal RNA", at positions 524 to 776 of the family's 1533-position model. The record is from RNAcentral.
UACGUAGGGGUCAAGCGUUGUCCGGAUUUACUGGGCGUAAAGAGCGUGUAGGCGGCCAAGCAGGUCCGUUGUGAAAACUGGAGGCUUAACCUCCAGACGUCGACGGAAACCGCGUGGCUAGAGUCCGGAAGAGGAGAGUGGAAUUCCUGGUGUAGCGGUGAAAUGCGCAGAUAUCAGGAAGAACACCAAUGGCGAAGGCAGCUCUCUGGGACGGUACUGACGCUGAGACGCGAAAGCGUGGGGAGCGAACAGG